AGUGAACGCUGGCGGUAGGCCUAACACAUGCAAGUCGAACGGCAGCACAGUAAGAGCUUGCUCUUACGGGUGGCGAGUGGCGGACGGGUGAGGAAUACAUCGGAAUCUACUUUUUCGUGGGGGAUAACGUAGGGAAACUUACGCUAAUACCGCAUACGACCUGCGGGUGAAAGCAGGGGAUCUUCGGACCUUGCGCGAUUGAAUGAGCCGAUGUCGGAUUAGCUGGUUGGCGGGGUAAAGGCCCACCAAGGCGACGAUCCGUAGCUGGUCUGAGAGGAUGAUCAGCCACACUGGAACUGAGACACGGUCCAGACUCCUACGGGAGGCAGCAGUGGGGAAUAUUGGACAAUGGGCGCAAGCCUGAUCCAGCCAUACCGCGUGGGUGAAGAAGGCCUUCGGGUUGUAAAGCCCUUUUGUUGGGAAAGAAAAGCAGCAGGUUAAUACCCCGCUGUUCUGACGGUACCCAAAGAAUAAGCACCGGCUAACUUCGUG
RNAcentral lists this ribosomal RNA (492 nucleotides) under uncultured bacterium. Its description in RNAcentral is "partial 16S ribosomal RNA". It matches the Rfam family "Bacterial small subunit ribosomal RNA", at positions 29 to 507 of the family's 1533-position model. The record is from RNAcentral.